RNAcentral lists this ribosomal RNA (482 nucleotides) under uncultured bacterium. Its description in RNAcentral is "bacterial SSU rRNA". It matches the Rfam family "Bacterial small subunit ribosomal RNA", at positions 41 to 515 of the family's 1533-position model. The record is from RNAcentral.
UGCAUGCUUACACAUGCAAGUCGAACGGCAGUACGAGGAGCUUGCUCCUUGGUGGCGAGUGGCGGACGGGUGAGUAACGCGUAGGAAUCUACCUAGUAGUGGGGGACAACCCGGGGAAACUCGGGCUAAUACCGCAUAACCUCUACGGAGUAAAGCGGGGGAUCUUCGGACCUCGCGCUAUUAGAUGAGCCUGCGUCGGAUUAGCUUGUUGGUGAGGUAACGGCUCACCAAGGCGAUGAUCCGUAGCUGGUCUGAGAGGACGAUCAGCCACACUGGGACUGAGACACGGCCCAGACUCCUACGGGAGGCAGCAGUGGGGAAUAUUGGACAAUGGGCGCAAGCCUGAUCCAGCAAUGCAGCGUGUGUGAAGAAGGCCUUCGGGUUGUAAAGCACUUUCAGUAGGGAAGAAUGGCCUAAGGUUAAUAGCCUUAGGAGGUGACGUUACCUACAGAAGAAGCACUGGCUAACUCUGUGCCAGCAGC